This 3989-nucleotide long non-coding RNA is filed under the name Brassica napus (rape). RNAcentral describes it as "long non-coding RNA (BNAP_LNC022127)". Lineage: Eukaryota; Viridiplantae; Streptophyta; Magnoliopsida; Brassicales; Brassicaceae. The record is from RNAcentral.
CUCUUCAGAUUAGGCAACAGCCCGCCUCUCUCCUGGCAGAUGAGGUUCAGAAUCGCUGCGGAGAUAGGCACCGGACUCCUGUUCUUGCACCAGGCUAAACCGGAGCCUCUGGUCCACCGCGAUCUCAAACCGGGAAACAUCUUGCUAGACCGUAACUUCGUCAGCAAGAUAUCUGACGUCGGUUUGGCGAGAUUAGUCCCGCCUUCGGUUGCAGACACCGUGACGCAGUACCGCAUGACUUCAACAGCUGGCACCUUCUGUUACAUUGAUCCUGAGUAUCAGCAGACAGGGAUGCUGGGUGUGAAAUCUGAUAUCUACUCGCUCGGCAUUAUCUUCCUGCAGCUGAUCACGGCGAAACCGCCGAUGGGUUUGACUCAUUACGCGGAGAGAGCACUUGAGAAAGGGACUCUGUCGGAUUUACUCGAUCCGGCGGUUCCGGACUGGCCGGUUGAAGACACUGCAGAGUUUGCUAAGCUAGCGCUGCAAUGCGCGGAGCUGAGGAGAAAGGACAGACCUGAUCUUGCUAAAGUGAUAUUGCCGGUGCUGAACAGAUUAAGAACACUUGCUGAUGAAUCAACACAGUCUCUACUUGUCAUCAACAGCCCCGGACCGUCUCCUAACAGUAGCCAAACUUCUGUGAAACUGGUGAGAACUACUCAUUAUUUUUGAAGUCCCUGGACCAUCUGAAUAUUCAUUAGUAUGACUCUUUUGCUUAUGUCUUCUCUUUCACUGUAUAAUUUCAGGAACAAAUGAGUGGUGCUUCUAUCUCUGUGCCUCAAUAAUAUUUGAUCUACACACAACAAGAGGCAACUAUACAGGAUUCAGAUGCAACUUGGAGUGUCAUAUACAAUUUUAACUUUAAGUAGACAAAAAAACUCAAAUAAAGAACUUGCAUGCUCCUAGUAUAAGGAGAUGCAGUAGAGUUCUGUCUUUCCCUUGUAGAGAAAGUGUUUUGAAAUGUACAGAUAAAAUUCUUAUAAUCUAACUAACCAUAUAUUCAAGAUAUUAAACUCAUUAAGCAAAACAAACUUAAUGCUCUUAUGAAGCAAUUUCAGUGGUCUUGAAUUGCUUUUCAGUUUACGCAGGUUAAAGUUUUUAUUGAUAGAUCACGUAAUGUAAGAGAAUCUUGUAAAAUAUCAGAUGCCCAAAAAAAUAAUUUAGUGUAAAUUCAAUUCAAAACAACAACAAAAAUAGCCGCAAAAUUGUUAUCUAUCUUAACGAGAGAAAAAAUGAGAAGAAAACAAGAAGCUAGAACUCUUGAAUCUCAAAGAGGACCACAAAAAUUAAUCCCAACCAGCGGCUGGAACCGCUGCCGGAGGUGGCACAGCUGUGUCCCAACCAUCUGCAGCUGGAGCAGCUGUGAAAACAAAAACAUUUGAACACUGACAUCAGAUUCAGAUUAAGCAAUACAAAAGCCAAAGCUUAGAUCUUGUCAGAAAACUUAAUUACCACUGAUUGGCUGCUGAGCUUCUCCUGUCCACGAAGCAUCAGGAAUCCCAGCAGUGGUCCAUUGGUCUCCACCGGAAACUCCAUAUUCAGGUGCAGCAAAAUCUGCUUGAGGAGCAGCUUCUUCAUCUUCAAGUUGCUUAGCCUCCUCAGGCUCUCUGUAAAAGAACAGAUCCAUCUAUACAAAACAAAACAUACCAAACAUGAAUAACCAAAACAAAUUAUCUACUUCACAAAAAGACAAAUAAAUAUUACUCUUACCAUGACAUCCCACUUCUGUCCAGGACGGAUGGUUCCACGCAUCUGAAGGACCAUGCGAGCAAGAAUCCAAAAGAGACAACCAAUGCUGUGCUUUCCCUUGUUGUUAGCAGGGAUCCCAAUGUCGACAAAUCUCAUGGGAGAGUCUGUGUCACAAAAGGCAAUGAUGGGAAUGUUCCCCAAAGCACCUUCCUUGAUUGGCUGCAAACAAAGACACUAAACUCUCAACAAACAAGACAUUGACCAAUAAGUCACUACAUUAGGGACAACGAACUCAUUUUUAGGGUCAGUAAGAAUGAGCAACCUAGGCUCACUGAAGGAAGUCUGCAUCUGAUUGGUGAAAGUGCCAGGAGUGUGCCUUCCAGCGAUAGCAUUAGCACCAGUGUAUUGCGCAAACUUGAGAACAGCUCUCUGACCAUAUGGUCUAGCAGAUUGAACGAUAAUGUCCUGUGGGUUCUCAAUGGCUACGAUGACACGAGCAGCCAUGUACAACUUCUCUAAUGUUUUUCCUAGGUCGAGGAUAUUUAUACCUGACAAAACGAAACCGAGAAAGUUCAGAGAGUAGUAACGUAACCGCCACGCAAUACACAGUAACUACUACAAAUCUCUCAAAAACCCUAACGCAAUCAUCAAUGAGCAAAAGAUGAUGAGGUGAGACUUACCAUCGUUGCGUCUCUUGUAGACGUAACGUUCCAUCUGGUAAUUGCAGUUUUUGGUUCCGAGGUGAACCUCAGAGGCAAUCAUCAUUCGGAUGUCGGAUUCUUUCUGGGAGAGCUGUACGUUUGUCGCCAUAUUGUUACUCUCUUCUUCUUAUUCUCCGGGAAGCUGGACUUAUAGCCGAGAGUAAUGUGCUGAGUAGAUUCAGUAACGACGACGAAACUAAGAGUAUAAAGGAGAGUUGGUUAACUUGAAACCCUAAAUGUCGACGGCACCACAAAUAAGGCAGGGCAAAAAAACCGAAUCCGAUCCGAAAAAAUAGUACCGAGCCCGAACCAAAAUUGAUUAAAUAUCCAAACGGGUUCAAAAUUUUGGUAUCUAAAUAACCGAAUCCGAACCCAACACUACAAGAAAACACAGUUUUAGCAAGGAAAUUUAACGAGGAAAACUAUUCCUCGUGAAAUUACGAUGACUUAACGAUGAAAUUGCGAGGAAAUAAAGUUUCCUCGUAAUAGCCUUGUAAAAUACCGAGUAAAGCUUUUCCUCGUAGAAUCGUCGUAAGUUGACGUGGUUUUUCCGAGAAAAAUGUGUUUCGUCGCAAAUUCGUCGUAAUUUUAGCAUGAUUUUUACGAGGAAAUAACUUACGAGGAAAGAACGAGAAAUCCACCAACUUAACACGUUUUUUUGCCACCAACCUAAUUUUUCGUCGUAAAUUCCUAGCAAAAUUCAACUACCAGAUUCGAAAAUUUUCUAUAUAUAUGGAGGUUUGAACAUAAUUUUACGCACACCAACAAGAAAAAAAAAACGUGAAAAAAAUGUCGGGCUUGGGAAAUAUUUUCGAGUUGCGGAGGUGGAUGUAUAUGCAUAGAGAUGCUAACGGGAGAGUGACGAAAGAAUAUCUUGCUGGGUUGGAGCGUUUUAUGCAUCAAGCAGAUUCUACACCGCUCGCCCAAGAAAGCGGUAAAAUAUUCUGUCCUUGUAGGAAAUGUAACAAUUCAAAGUUGGCAAAUCGUGAAAAUGUUUGGAAGCAUUUAGUAAAUAGAGGUUUCACGCCAAAUUAUUAUAUCUGGUUUCAACAUGGAGCAAGGGAUGUCUCAGUUUCAGCAAGAGAUUGAGGUGUUGAGCUGCAUUAGGCACCCUAACAUGGUUCUACUUCUUGGAGCUUGCCCUGAGGGUGGAUGUUUGGUCUACGAGUUCAUGGCCAACGGGAGCUUAGAGGAUCGUCUCUUCAGAUUAGGCAACAGCCCGCCUCUCUCCUGGCAGAUGAGGUUCAGAAUCGCUGCGGAGAUAGGCACCGGACUCCUGUUCUUGCACCAGGCUAAACCGGAGCCUCUGGUCCACCGCGAUCUCAAACCGGGAAACAUCUUGCUAGACCGUAACUUCGUCAGCAAGAUAUCUGACGUCGGUUUGGCGAGAUUAGUCCCGCCUUCGGUUGCAGACACCGUGACGCAGUACCGCAUGACUUCAACAGCUGGCACCUUCUGUUACAUUGAUCCUGAGUAUCAGCAGACAGGGAUGCUGGGUGUGAAAUCUGAUAUCUACUCGCUCGGCAUUAUCUUCCUGCAGCUGAUCACGGCGAAACCGCCGAUGGGUUUGACUCAUUACGCGGAGAGAGCACUUGAGAAAGG